UUGGAUUUUGAGCACUGCUGGCUGGCAACAGCGAAGCUUGCUCGUAAUUUAUUAGCAUCUCGUAUUCGAUUAAUCGGAUUGACUCAGUGUAAUAGACUAUUCGCUGAGGACGCUCCCUAUCAGGGAGUGGCCGAUUUCGAGAGGUAGAAGCUUCUAACCCCCCUAGUCAACUUUAAGAUUAGACCUCAAAUCAGGCAGGAUUACCCGCUGAACUUAAGCAUAUCAAUAAGCGGAGGAAAAGAAACUAACAAGGAUUCCCCUAGUAGCGGCGAGCGAAGUGGGACAAGCUCAAAUUUGAAAUCUGGCGCUUUCAGCGUCCGAGUUGUAAUCUCGAGAAGCGUUUUCCGUAUUAGCCUGCAUACAAGUCCGUUGGAAUACGGCGUCAUAGUGGUGAGAACCCCGUAGAUAAUGCAGAUUCCUAAUGCUCUGUGAUACGCUUUCGAAGAGUCGAGUUGUUUGGGAAUGCAGCUCAAAUUGGGUGGUAAAUUCCAUCUAAAGCUAAAUAUUGGCGAGAGACCGAUAGCGAACAAGUACCGUGAGGGAAAGAUGAAAAGCACUUUGGAAAGAGAGUUAACAGUACGUGAAAUUGUUGGAAGGGAAACGAUUGAAGUCAGACUUGCUAAUCGGAGUUCAGCCAUUAGGUGUACUCUCCGACUCGCAGGCCAGCAUCAGUUUUCGGGGGCGGAAAAUCAUUAGAGAAAGGUAGCAGCCUAGCUGUGUUAUAGUCUCUGGUUGGAUUCGCCUUUGGGGACUGAGGAACGCAGUGUGCUUUUAGCAAUCCUUCGGGGAUUCACACUAGAUG
Molecule: ribosomal RNA, 802 nt
Filed under: Leucosporidium sp. AP-2015
Lineage: Eukaryota; Fungi; Basidiomycota; Microbotryomycetes; Leucosporidiales; Leucosporidiaceae
Description: eukaryotic LSU rRNA
Rfam family: Eukaryotic large subunit ribosomal RNA (bases 181-802)
Source: RNAcentral